Phragmites australis (common reed) is the source of this 895-nucleotide long non-coding RNA. RefSeq lists it as uncharacterized. The record is from RefSeq and is a predicted model, not a curated record. NCBI's taxonomy places the organism in Eukaryota, Viridiplantae, Streptophyta, Magnoliopsida, Poales, Poaceae. The transcript has 3 exons.
CGACCCCCGAGCUUUUAGACCCUGCUGUGGCAAGAAGCAUCGCAGCUUCUUAUCCGCCGAGCACCAGACAGAGCUAGGAGUGUUUCAACCACGGAGCCCUGGAGAGCUGCUGACGAUAGACGAGCGAUGGAAGCAUAGGUUGGCAGUGGCCGGACUCCUACCGCUUUGCCGGUUGGUCGAGGCCCGAUCGACGGAGAACCCCGAGGUUGUGGCCCGUCGUUUCUACUUUGAUCGGUCGCUGAUAGCAGCACUGGUCGAUCGAUAGAGGCCGGAGACACAUACGUUCCAUCUCCCGUGCGGCGAGAUGACCCCGACCUUGCAGGACGUAGCCUACCUCUUAGGCCUUCCUUGCGCGGGAGCUGUGGUUGGAGUCAUCGAUAUGCAGGCUGACUGGAUCAACGACAUUCAUCAGCGCUUUGGCCCGGUGGAGCGAAAGACGGACGCACCCCCCUACGUGCCUGAGUUCUUGUCCGAUGCACGAGGGCCAACGAAGAAGUGGAUCCUACAGUUCCAGCCGGCGUACAUACACCCACAUGCCAAUGCAUACGCGAUCUCCAUGCAUUUUGAGGUCUUCCUACUUUGGUUGUUUGGGUGGGUAAUGUUCACUAGUGGCCAAGGUCACCUGGUUAACAGGACACUUGUGCUGUACGCCUGGUCGAUAGCAGACGCUGAUGCGGAGGACGUACCAUAGUUCAGUUGGGCAUUUGCUGUUCUUGCUGCGACGUAUCGGGCGCUCUGCGACGCAUGAACGAAGAAAGAGCCACUAUCCACUUUUGCCGGGUGUCCACUUCUUCUAUAGCUGUGGUCAUACGAGCAUUUCUCCAUAGGCAGGCCGGUGGUGGACCGCUCCCCGUACCCAGAGGAAUGGUACGGCGAGCCGGACGAGGACGCGCCU